Non-coding RNA from Cryptococcus amylolentus CBS 6039, 91 nucleotides. Lineage: Eukaryota; Fungi; Basidiomycota; Tremellomycetes; Tremellales; Cryptococcaceae. The record is from the annotation of a RefSeq genome assembly.
UGCUCUGUGGCUAAGUUGGUUACGGCGUCCGACUGUUAAAUCCCACAUUCCAUCAAUCGGAAGAUCGUGAGUUCGACCCUCACCGGAGCAG